AUUGAACGCUGGCGGAAUGCUUUACACAUGCAAGUCGAACGGCAGCACGGGGCAACCUGGUGGCGAGUGGCGAACGGGUGAGUAAUAUAUCGGAACGUGCCCAAUCGUGGGGGAUAACGCAGCGAAAGUUACGCUAAUACCGCAUACGAUCUACGGAUGAAAGCGGGGGAGUCGCAAGACCUCGCGCGAAUGGAGCGGCCGAUAUCAGAUUAGGUAGUUGGUGGGGUAAAGGCUCACCAAGCCAACGAUCUGUAGCUGGUCUGAGAGGACGACCAGCCACACUGGAACUGAGACACGGUCCAGACUCCUACGGGAGGCAGCAGUGGGGAAUUUUGGACAAUGGGGCGCAAGCCUGAUCCAGCCAUUCCGCGUGCAGGAUGAAGGCC
This 386-nucleotide ribosomal RNA is filed under the name uncultured bacterium. Its description in RNAcentral is "bacterial SSU rRNA". It matches the Rfam family "Bacterial small subunit ribosomal RNA", at positions 30 to 416 of the family's 1533-position model. The record is from RNAcentral.